Branchiostoma floridae (Florida lancelet) is the source of this 166-nucleotide non-coding RNA. NCBI's taxonomy places the organism in Eukaryota, Metazoa, Chordata, Leptocardii, Amphioxiformes, Branchiostomatidae. The record is from Rfam.
AUACUUACCUGGCAGAGAAGACACGCUGAUCAAAAAGGGCGUUCUUCCAGGAUGAGGCCCGAUCAUUGCACCCCUGGUCUGGGUUGACCCCUGCGAUUACCCCAAACGCGGGUAACUCGGCUGUGUAAUUUCUGAUAGUGGGGGUCUGCGUUCGCGCUUACCCCCG